UACGUAGGGUGCAAGCGUUAAUCGGAAUUACUGGGCGUAAAGCGUGCGCAGGCGGUUACGUAAGACAGGUGUGAAAUCCCCGGGCUUAACCUGGGAACUGCAUUUGUGACUGCAUAGCUAGAGUACGGUAGAGGGGGAUGGAAUUCCGCGUGUAGCAGUGAAAUGCGUAGAUAUGCGGAGGAACACCGAUGGCGAAGGCAAUCCCCUGGACCUGUACUGACGCUCAUGCACGAAAGCGUGGGGAGCAAACAGG
Molecule: ribosomal RNA, 253 nt
Filed under: uncultured bacterium
Lineage: Bacteria
Description: partial 16S ribosomal RNA
Rfam family: Bacterial small subunit ribosomal RNA
Source: RNAcentral